GUUCAGAGCAGAGAUCAGUGUGUGGAAACCAGAGCAGGAGAUUCAGACAGAAAAAAGGAAGAGUUUAUCCUGUGGAGAGAAGACUUGCUGCCUAAAUUGUUAAAUCAGAAUGUUUGCUCUCAUCUGGGUGAUUCUGCUGUUUGCUGACAGAGUUGCAGGUUCUAGAACAGGUGAGUCAAGCUGUGCAAAGGAAAAAUACAAUAUCACGCUAAGUGAAAACAAUGUAACCUCAGAGGCUGGAGUAUGUGUUUUGCACCGUUACUUUACUACAGAAGAUGGUUUGAUGUCCAAAGUGUAAUUUGGUACAAGCACAAUGAAAGUCUAAUAAAACAAUAUUUGACUCCAGCAAACACAAAACUUCUGACUCUGAGAGUAA
Archocentrus centrarchus (flier cichlid) is the source of this 376-nucleotide long non-coding RNA. RefSeq lists it as uncharacterized. The transcript is spliced from 3 exons. NCBI's taxonomy places the organism in Eukaryota, Metazoa, Chordata, Actinopteri, Cichliformes, Cichlidae. The record is from RefSeq and is a predicted model, not a curated record.